Molecule: ribosomal RNA, 257 nt
Filed under: uncultured bacterium
Lineage: Bacteria
Description: partial 16S ribosomal RNA
Rfam family: Bacterial small subunit ribosomal RNA
Source: RNAcentral
UACGUAGGGUGCGAGCGUUGUCCGGAAUUAUUGGGCGUAAAGAGCUCGUAGGCGGUGUGUCACGUCGGCCGUGAAAAACCUGCAGCUUAACUGUGGGCGUGCGGUCGAUACGGGCAUCACUGGAGUUCGGCAGGGGAGACUGGAAUUCCUGGUGUAGCGGUGAAAUGCGCAGAUAUCAGGAGGAACACCGGUGGCGAAGGCGGGUCUCUGGGCCGAUACUGACGCUGAGGAGCGAAAAGCGUGGGGGAGCAAACAGG